GGUAGGGUGGCAGAGUGGUCGAUUGCGCCGGUUUUGAAAACCGGUGAACCGCAAGGUUCCGUGGGUUCGAAUCCCACCCCUACCG
This 85-nucleotide transfer RNA is filed under the name Planctomycetota bacterium. RNAcentral's name for it is "Planctomycetes bacterium (anaerobic digester metagenome) tRNA-Ser". It matches the Rfam family "tRNA". From Rfam's summary of the family: Transfer RNA (tRNA) molecules are approximately 80 nucleotides in length. Their secondary structure includes four short double-helical elements and three loops (D, anti-codon, and T loops). Further hydrogen bonds mediate the characteristic L-shaped molecular structure. tRNAs have two regions of fundamental functional importance: the anti-codon, which is responsible for specific mRNA codon recognition, and the 3' end, to which the tRNAs corresponding amino acid is attached (by aminoacyl-tRNA synthetases). tRNAs cope with the degeneracy of the genetic code in two manners: having more than one tRNA (with a specific anti-codon) for a particular amino acid; and 'wobble' base-pairing, i.e. permitting non-standard base-pairing at the 3rd anti-codon position. Lineage: Bacteria; Pseudomonadati; Planctomycetota. The record is from RNAcentral.